CGAACGCUGGCGGCGUGCUUAACACAUGCAAGUCGAACGGAAAGGCCCUGCUUUUGUGGGGUGCUCGAGUGGCGAACGGGUGAGUAACACGUGAGUAACCUGCCCUUGACUUUGGGAUAACUUCAGGAAACUGGGGCUAAUACCGGAUAGGAGCUCCUGCUGCAUGGUGGGGGUUGGAAAGUUUCGGCGGUUGGGGAUGGACUCGCGGCUUAUCAGCUUGUUGGUGGGGUAGUGGCUUACCAAGGCUUUGACGGGUAGCCGGCCUGAGAGGGUGACCGGCCACAUUGGGACUGAGAUACGGCCCAGACUCCUACGGGAGGCAGCAGUGGGGAAUAUUGCACAAUGGGCGGAAGCCUGAUGCAGCAACGCCGCGUGCGGGAUGGCGGCCUUCGGGUUGUAAACCGCUUUCGCCUGUGACGAAGCGUGAGUGACGGUAAUGGGUAAAGAAGCACCGGCUAACUACGUG
This 466-nucleotide ribosomal RNA is filed under the name uncultured bacterium. Its description in RNAcentral is "partial 16S ribosomal RNA". It matches the Rfam family "Bacterial small subunit ribosomal RNA", at positions 30 to 507 of the family's 1533-position model. The record is from RNAcentral.